ACAUCUCAAAUAUAAGUUUAAAAACUUAUAUUUAUAAUUUGAUACUCCCUCCGUCCAUGAAAGAACUUCCUAGGAGAGAGUGGCACGGGUUUUAAGAAAAAAUAUUAUUGAGUGUAUUGAGAGUGGAUAAAAGGUAGUUGAGUAUAUUGGGAGUGGUGAAAAUGUGUUAUAAUUAAUAUUGGGAGUUGUGAACAGUGAAAAGUAAGAGGAUUAUAAGUGGUGGGGUAUAAUCCAAAAAUAGAUAGGAAGUUCUUUUGUGGACGUCCCAAAAAGAAAAUAUAGGAAGUUCUUUCAUGGACAGAGGGAGUAUUUUUGAAAUAACAAGUGAAUCAAUUACUAACAUUAUGAAUAUAAGUUUUAAAUUUAUAUUUAUAAUUUGGUAUUUAUGAAAAUAACAAGUGAAGCUUUUACUUACAUAAGUUUAGAG
This 427-nucleotide long non-coding RNA is filed under the name Salvia miltiorrhiza (redroot sage). Its description in RNAcentral is "long non-coding RNA (SMIL_LNC002980)". Lineage: Eukaryota; Viridiplantae; Streptophyta; Magnoliopsida; Lamiales; Lamiaceae. The record is from RNAcentral.